UACGUAGGAUGCAAGCGUUGUCCGGAUUUACUGGGCGUAAAGCGCGCGCAGGCGGCACUCUAAGUACGUCGUGAAAUAUCCCGGCUCAACCGGGAGGGUGCGAUGUAGACUAGGGAGCUAGAGGUCGGUAGAGGGGGGUGGAAUUCCCGGUGUAGCGGUGAAAUGCGCAGAUAUCGGGAGGAACACCAAUGGCGAAGGCAGCUCGCUGGGACGUUACUGACGCUGAGACGCGAAAGCGUGGGGAGCAAACAGG
Molecule: ribosomal RNA, 253 nt
Filed under: uncultured bacterium
Lineage: Bacteria
Description: partial 16S ribosomal RNA
Rfam family: Bacterial small subunit ribosomal RNA
Source: RNAcentral